GAGAGACUUGACAAACUCAACUAUACUACGACAAACUCUGAUACCAACUAAAAGACUGAAUACUACUAAACAAGACUAGAAAGCAAAAAACAAUAUGAAUGACAGACUCAAAACAUAAAAAGUCUCCCCAAGAAGCUCAUGUAUGCAACGGUCCUGACUGGAAUGGUCCUGGGGCGUCUAUCAUGCUCAAGCUACGGUAAACGGAUCCAUACCUGAAUGAGAAGAUAAGACCAAAUAGAGUUAGUGACUCAAGACACUAUGUGAGACCAUAACCUUCCUAUUGGACACACGAACAGGCGGCUAGAAAUGCAAACUCAGCUAGGACGACCUGUAAGACAUGGAAAAUACCUCACGAAGGCCUAUACGACCCCCGAUCUCCCAGGAAUCACGGUCUCUAAAAUUACUUUACAAAAAUGACUCAUUUUGCAUAAAUGGCCUAUGUGAUAAAAAAUGGCUAAGCAUGCAAACUCAACAGGAAUGGACCUUAAACUAUGUGGACUCUUUGUUGUGGACUCAUGACUCUGAGACAUGGGUUAACAAGUCACUUUUGUAAAAAUAUCCCUAUUUCGCAAAAACGAUCGAUGUGGUCAAAUGUGGCUAAAUAUGCAAAUUCAACAAGGAAGGGCCUUAAAGUAAGGAGACAGCUAAUUGUGGAUUCAAGACUCUCCGAACACGGUUCAACAAGUCACUUUGCAAAAAUAACCCUAUUUUAUAAAAAGAUCGAUGUGGCCAAAAGUGACUAGACAUGCAAGAUUUGGCUAUGACCCUCGAAGCCAAGAACUUAAGACUCACUAGGAUGACCGGACCCUAUGUGGGUUGCCUACGUAUCCCGUCCCAAAAGACGAGAAUCAGGUAUGCGUAGUUCGGGAAGAUUGGCCAAAAUUGAAAACACUUACAAAAGGGUCAAUAAACUUGAAAAAUAAGUUGCUUUUUUUUUUGAUUUUUUGUAAAAUGGUAUGAAGGUGUAAAAUAUUUUUGGAAUUUUUCUUUUUUUUUUCAUUUUUUCUUUUUUUUUUUGAAAAAACUAUGAAAGAAAAAUAAAAGUGGGCCCUACUUGCUUCAUUUUUACCCUUCUUUCCCAAACAUCAGUCCGUCAAAUGACCUUUCUACCCUCAAAGAUGCAACAUUUAGCACAUAAGAUGAUUGAAUGUCAUUUUGGGCCAGCGGGCCCAUUUGACACAAUUUGGAUAGGUUUCCUACAAAGGACACGGCACCAAGGACCACGCCCUGCUAGGUUAUAAUGAUAUGAUGCAAAUAAAAAUGACCUAAAGGCUGACCUACGUUUGAGGUUCACUAACAAAGCAAUUCUGGGGAACGUAUGGUCGAUAGUGGCUGUUAGGGGUGGGCGUCGGUUGGUUCGGUCGGUUAUUAUGAAAGUAUGGUUCAGUUUAUCGGUUUUGUAAUAUUAAUAACCAAAUCAAAUCAAAGUAUUUACGGUUCGGUGUGAUUUUUUUCAAAGUUUGGUUCGGUUAUUUCCGGUUUAGUUUUUCGGUUAUUAACGGUUCAAGAUUUUUAUAUCUUGGAUUUACUUUCAGUGGUCAUAAACUUUCAGUGAUUUUUGCAUAAUAUAAAAACUGGGCAGUGGACAGUGGGCAUAACGUUGUAGCAUCCAAACAUGAACAAAAUAACAAUUGUUAAAGUUAAACCUUAAACCCUACGGAAAGCAUUAAAACACGAAACAGUGAGAGCGUGGAGAACUUUUGUAUCAGUUCUGGGUUUCUUCUCAAUUCUCCCAUUUCCUCUUACUCCGAAAUCUGCAAUUUUGCUCCUAUCUUAUCAAUUAACACAUUAAAAUUAUUGGAAAAUAUUCAGAGUUGUUGCAGCUGUUGCUUUAUCAAUCGGGUAUUAACCUAUGGAAUCAAAGAAUUAAAGGUGGAGAAACUUAAAUAGGUGGAUACCAGGUUGGUUUACAACAGAAGCAUUGAUAUAACGUAAAAGAAAAAGAUUAGUAGAAACUGAAGAGAAAACUAAACAAAACAACAUGUUUCUAUUGAUGGACUCAUUCCAUUAACACUCCAGAAAAGAAAUAAAAAAUUGCUCAGAGAUUAAUGAAACCCGUCAAGUCCAUGUUCCUAUUUAACAAAAUAAUGUAGCAUAGAAAGGGAUCAAUAGAAGAAAGAGACAUGCUCACUUUAACUUAGCAGAAUAAUCAACACAAGAAAUUUUCACCAAAAUCGAAUGAGUUGAGGAACAGAGGAAGAAAACUGAAAAGGAACUCAGAACUCAGAAGAAGUCGCACUAACCUGAGGAAGAAUGAUGAGCAACGAGCUGAGGAAGAAGGCGUCACAGUCGAGCUGAGGAAGAAGACAACAGUCGCACAGAGGAACC
RNAcentral lists this long non-coding RNA (2328 nucleotides) under Nicotiana tabacum (common tobacco). RNAcentral's name for it is "long non-coding RNA (NTAB_LNC018637)". Lineage: Eukaryota; Viridiplantae; Streptophyta; Magnoliopsida; Solanales; Solanaceae. The record is from RNAcentral.